AUCAUAAAAUUGACAAUUUUGAAAAAACCAGCUGUAACUAAAGGUACAAUUGGAAAGAAAGGAUUCAUUAUUUGGGCUAAAUCGUUGUGUAAUGUGUAUACUAACUGGGAAGUAAAGUCUAAUUAGAUACGAGGGCUAGAGUCUUAUUUUUCACAAAGUCAUACCGGUUUCCAGGUAGAUGAACUUAGCUAUUAUAUUGUAAACCAUGGUCUGGGAUUUGAAUUUAUGAUUUUGUGUGUGUGUGUGUGUAUACCUAGUAAUUCCAUUGGACAAAUCCAUGCUGUUUACUUGGCAACAUUUUUGGGAAAUGCUAUUGCCUUCUUCCCAGGUCUGAAGGAAAGGGACUGGCCCAAGGCAGGCCUAGAACUGGAUUUCUAGCCCCAGUGUCUUUAACCAAACAGGCACCAAAGUGGCUGUCAUGUGUGAACUAGGUCACUCUGUUGUUCAAUAAGCUGUCAUCUAACCCUAGUAUAGCAUGAAAUGCAGUCCAGUUCCUCUUAUAGUCUUAUUAAACAUAUAAAGUGCUGCAUAAUUCUAUUGAUACUCAGUGAAGUGUGUUUGCAAAUAAGUAGGGAUCAAUUGUAAUCCUAAAGUUAAAGCUGAAGAUAGAAAAACUAGCACACACAUACACAUAUAGACACACAACUUGGAUAGAUAUUUACAAAGCUACUGUUGAGGAACCCAGUACUGGGUUGCUCAUUAAGGCUGGAAAUGGAAAGACUCUGCUAUUUACAUGUCCAUGUAGUUUUCUUGGCAGCAAAAUGAGAGUAAUUUCCCUUUGUCUUUUCUCUAGGAUACUUUUUCACUUUCCUUUCAUUUUCUGUGAUUUUUCUGGUAGUCUCACCUCUAAGUACUAUUAGGUAUACUUAGCUUUUCAAGAUCAGCCAAGAUUACUGAGUGCUGCCCCUGGCUGUGGACUUCACCAAGGCUAGGCAUUGUUGAUUUUUCUACUAUUAUAGAGGGCAUAAAGAAUGGCUUUGAGGGACUGAAGGAACAUUCUGUUAUUAUACAGUAUUUUUACAGUAAAAAUAAUAUGGGCCUACAUGACUUUGAUUUCCUAAACUGGUCUACUUUGAAGGUUGGCAGCUAUGUAAAUCAAUCAUAGUCAACAUAUGUUGUUGCAUUGAAAUAGUGCCAUUUGGCCUACUCUAAUACCAUUUUGCGGCCUUCAUAAGAUAUUUCAGGGUGCUGUGAUUACUUGCUUCCAGCAUUUCUUUUCUACAUUUAUUUGUCUGGAAUAUUUGGGAGCUGGGAUGAAAUCGACAACAGUUCUGCCAUUUUCCAUUUCUAGGGCAAGUUAUUGGAAAUAUGGUAAAUUACGCUACAAGUCUUUCUGUAAGGCCUAUAAACCUGUCCAGCCAAUAGGUCAGGAGCUUACUGAUAGUUCACUACACAUUCCAAAUCCCUACUUUAAUCCCACCAUCAUUCAGCUGGACCAUUUUUAGCCCAUAAAUUUGUCUUCUGAAAUAGCCCGUGUAACAGAUUACUGGUGUGGAGUACCUCCACAAUUACACUUUGACAACUUGAAAAGUGCUAAAGCCACCAUUUGAGGCACUGACACAUAUAUUCCCAGCCGUCCCUGCCACAAUUUAAGGAAAACGAUUGGUGGUGGUUUACACUGGAUGAUAACAGUUGACACUGGAUUAGAAGGAAACAAAACUUCUGAGGUAGCAGAAGAAGUAAGGGGGAACAAGAUGGAAAGAAGUAUCUAGUCCCACAGAGAAAUCAUACCAUGGGCUGGACAUCCAAUAGUAGAAGUCUUAAAGGUCUUCUGCUAUCAAUAAUGGGCAUCAAAGGAGGCAUUCUCCAUGCCACUUCUCCCUACAGCUUCUUGUGUGGACAGACACUCCAGUUCUACUUUAUUUUCAGGGCAGAAUAGAUGUUGGUAAAGUGUGAUCAACAUUUCUUUAAGCUGACAUACCUUAAGCUAGUUCCUGUGCUGAAUAACUGCAUUUUAAUGCUGAGGUAUAGAACAGCCUGUGAUCUUGCUCUUGAAUGAACCUUUCUAUCUACUAUUUAUAUCAAUUCAAAAAUACACUGUUUUCAAUAGGUGGCUUUGUGAUGUCAUUGGGUUUGCAAUAUUGUUUUGGGACAGGGAAGCUGUAGCGCUCCAGAUGUUUUGGGAAUACUGUUCUUAACAGUAGCAAGCUAGCAUGGCGAACAGUGGGAAAUCCUGGAUAGCCACAAAUUAACACCACCAGAGUUAUAUAGCUACGUUUGCUGUGGAGAUAAACAUUAUCAACCAAGUGGUACAAUCCCUGCCCCCUUUAACUGUCUGGAGUGCAUAUGGCCAUUAUGUCUGCCAUUUUGAUAUCACUGAUUCCCAUGCGUCCAGGGGAAUGUAUGUGUUUCUCACAUACACAUGUGCUGUUCUUGAUGUAGCUAGUUGUUACCUGCUUCUUUCUAUAUUAUGAAGGGUUUUUUGGAUGGUUUUUAAAAAUCUUUCUUGAAGAAUCUAAGGAUAAAACUGUAAGUUAAUAGUUUACAGUUAUUUUUCAAUCCAACAAAUUAUUUUUAUUCAUAUUUAUUAUUCACUCAGAACUCAGUUGGCUUCCUACUGUGUCACAAAAAGGCCAGUCUAAAUGGUUUCUGCACAUAGGUAUUAUGUGAAAUGGCCUACUUACAUGCAUAUAUACAUAUACAUACAUAGCAAAAUAGCAUAAAAUGCAUUUUCAUAGAUAAACAUAAAUCAGCUUCUAUAACUUAGUGUUUUCCAACUGCAUUAAACAAUUCUCAGAAUCCCCAGCCACCACAUCUGGAGGACCAUAGUUGAGCGCUGGACCAGAAUAUUUUUCUGAAUUCAAACUGAUAAAAAAUGUGAUUUGGCCUUUUUUUUUUUAAACACACAAUGGAAUUUCAGUUAAAAUCCAUAUAAAAGGAGCGUGGUGUUUUGCAUGAAUUCCAUUAUGAUUGCACCCAACGGGAAAUGAAGUAUCAUAUCAGGAUCUUGUAAUUCAUUGUAAAGUAUUCCUCCUACAGUCUACACAUACUUACCUACACACAUACACACACCUCUUGUGAAAAACAAGUGGU
Notechis scutatus (mainland tiger snake) is the source of this 3033-nucleotide non-coding RNA. The record is from RefSeq and is a predicted model, not a curated record. NCBI's taxonomy places the organism in Eukaryota, Metazoa, Chordata, Lepidosauria, Squamata, Elapidae.